UACGGGGGGAGCAAGCGUUGUUCGGAUUUACUGGGCGUAAAGGGCGCGUAGGCGGCGUGGUAAGUCACUUGUGAAAUCUCCGAGCUUAACUCGGAACGGUCAAGUGAUACUGCUGUGCUAGAGUGCGGAAGGGGCAACUGGAAUUCUCGGUGUAGCGGUGAAAUGCGUAGAUAUCGAGAGGAACACCUGCGGCGAAAGCGGCCUUCUGGACGAGGACUGACGCUGAGACGCGAAAGCGUGGGGAGCAAACAGG
This 253-nucleotide ribosomal RNA is filed under the name uncultured bacterium. RNAcentral describes it as "partial 16S ribosomal RNA". It matches the Rfam family "Bacterial small subunit ribosomal RNA", at positions 524 to 776 of the family's 1533-position model. The record is from RNAcentral.